This 72-nucleotide transfer RNA is filed under the name Patescibacteria group bacterium. Its description in RNAcentral is "tRNA-Lys". It matches the Rfam family "tRNA". From Rfam's summary of the family: Transfer RNA (tRNA) molecules are approximately 80 nucleotides in length. Their secondary structure includes four short double-helical elements and three loops (D, anti-codon, and T loops). Further hydrogen bonds mediate the characteristic L-shaped molecular structure. tRNAs have two regions of fundamental functional importance: the anti-codon, which is responsible for specific mRNA codon recognition, and the 3' end, to which the tRNAs corresponding amino acid is attached (by aminoacyl-tRNA synthetases). tRNAs cope with the degeneracy of the genetic code in two manners: having more than one tRNA (with a specific anti-codon) for a particular amino acid; and 'wobble' base-pairing, i.e. permitting non-standard base-pairing at the 3rd anti-codon position. The record is from RNAcentral. RNAcentral also lists the same sequence under 1 other name.
GGGUCGGUAGCUCAACGGUAGAGCGUCUGCCUCUUAAGCAGGAUGUUCAGGGUUCGAAUCCCUGCCGACUCA